This is a non-coding RNA of Paramuricea clavata, 1768 nucleotides long. The record is from the annotation of a GenBank genome assembly. Lineage: Eukaryota; Metazoa; Cnidaria; Anthozoa; Malacalcyonacea; Plexauridae.
ACUUUUCAAACAGCGAAUCGCUAUUCGCUACUUUUUAAAAUUGUUAUAUAGCAACCGUUCGUAGAAUAUAAUGAUAUUAAGACACGGUUUGCUUAAAAGAUUAUUUUAUACAGUAAAGAUUAUUUUAGCGCAUUGAAAAGUGGCACUCCUGAACACUGUAUAGUGCUUACAAAAAUGUUGCUUUGACCCUUUUGUUUACUGUUGCUACUCGUAAGUCGAUUUGUUAUAGGUUAAAUUACAACCUGAGCCCAAAUACCGUAAAACUAAAAAAUAUAGAGUAGCGAAAUAGCGAAAUAGUUCGCUACAUUUUUUAAGCAGUAGCUGUACAUAGUCAGUAGCGAACUACUUUUGUUCAAAAGUAGCAGUAGUUGUAGCUGACUACAUAUUUUUGAAGUAGCUGUAGUUAUAGCGAACUACAAAAAUUUUGUAGUCAACCCACCCUUGCUAGGCACUAGCUUUAAAACACCUGGACACAUUUUAUAUUAUCUUAAUGUUUAAUACUAGUGAUAAAUUUCAAGCGAUGAGAAUAUAUAAUUUAACUCAUAUCAACGAAUUAAUGUGCUAGAUAUUUAGUAGAGAGUAGAGUCUCCCUGGAAUUUUAUAAAUAAAACGGGGUGUAUUAAUGGGCGAGGAAGGGGCAUGGACAUUUAUAUACGCCUGUAUUCUAAAAGCUCACACGCUCACACUUAAAGAGUGGAGAUAUAAUCUGAGCUCCCCUUGAGUGUGGUUUUUGAAUAGCUGGAGGAUGAGUAGUCACAAUAAGCCCUGGGCUUAUAAUUAUAUACUUUCGUAAACGAUUUUUGAUGGGCUUAUACAAGGGGGGCUUAUAUACGGGUGGGCUUAUACAUGGACAAUCUUUUGUGUUAGUAAUAAACAAGUCAGACAUAAACAAGUCAGUCAUAAACAGGGAGUAAACAUGUAUUAAGCAGCGAUUACUGGGCUUAUAUUAAUUGGGGGACCUAUAUUCAGGGGGCUUAUAUUCGAGUGGGCUUAUAUUUGGAAUGAGGUGAGUGUUAGUACAUGUGGUGGGCUUAUACAUGGGGGGCUUAUAUUCGGGGGUCUUAUAGUCGGAGCUUUAUGGUAUAACCCUUGUACAGCUAUUCAAAAACUGCACUGUCUGACACUCAAGGGAACCUCAGAUUAAACCUCCACUAUUUGAGUGUGAGUGAGCUUUUAGAACACAGGUGUUACGAUAGAACCCGAGUUAGCGAGGAUUUGAGUUUAAAUUAAUGAGGUUGGUGUUGGAUUUUGUUUAUUAUGUUGCUGUUAUAGUUAAUAACUAUAAGGUAUAGUCGUUUUAUCACCACAAUUGAUCGAGAGUCACUAUGGUACACUCUACAAAGAAUUUCUAAAGUCUGUACUACUGUUACCAGUCUUCAAUUAACAGUACAGUACCUACCAACAGUACAUGUACAUACAAGCUAGGUCAGUAAUAAUCAACGCUUUACGACAUAAUAAUUGAACUUUUUUCUCUCUAUCGACUAAUGUAUUACAUUUGUAUAUAUUGCAUACUGAUUCAAUUGUUGUUGUCUAUUAAAAUUGCAAUCCAAGCUUCCAAGUUGUCAAUGUGCUAAUUGUUCUGAUAUUUUGAGGUUUGCCGAUCCACAUCUAAAAAACACAGUUCAAGUUAUCCCAGGUAAAUUUGACCAAGGGAAAAUGAAAUUUGUAUGAGUUAGCAAGGAGGUCGAGUUAAUUCAAUGUUCGAGUCAGUGGGGUCACUUCUACUAUUGUGUAUAGUUUGCUUAAGACUUGAGAUCCUUAAAGCUAG